This 239-nucleotide long non-coding RNA is filed under the name Bos taurus (domestic cattle). Its description in RNAcentral is "long non-coding RNA NONBTAT018079". The record is from RNAcentral. Lineage: Eukaryota; Metazoa; Chordata; Mammalia; Artiodactyla; Bovidae.
GCCACAUCUGCUAGCCAUUUGGAUUAAUUAUUACACCUGUGUCAUAAAACCUGCAUUAAUAAAGAGGUGGCAAGGAAACUGAUACUGCAGCUUAGACAGGACUCUGAUUCCUUCGCAACAUUCUGUCCCCAUCAGUGGCAUUCUACCAUCCUGUUCUCCUGGUGCAUCACCUGGAGUGUUACAGCUUACUUCCUCCAGCACCUCCGUGACUAGUGUGUCUCUAAGACCUCCUGCUUCUU